UGCCAGCCGCCGCGGUAAUACGUAGGGGGCGAGCGUUGUCCGGAUUUAUUGGGCGUAAAGGGCUCGUAGGCGGCUUAGCAAGUCGAUCGUGAAAACUCAGGGCUCAACCCUGAGACGCCGGUCGAUACUGCUAUGGCUAGGGUCCGGUAGAGGAGAAUGGAAUUCCCGGUGUAGCGGUGAAAUGCGCAGAUAUCGGAGGAACACCAGUAGCGAAGGCGGUUCUCUGGGCCGGUACCGACGCUGAGGAGCGAAAGCGUGGGGAGCAAACAGGAUUAGAUA
This 279-nucleotide ribosomal RNA is filed under the name uncultured bacterium. RNAcentral's name for it is "partial 16S ribosomal RNA". It matches the Rfam family "Bacterial small subunit ribosomal RNA", at positions 506 to 784 of the family's 1533-position model. The record is from RNAcentral.